This 468-nucleotide ribosomal RNA is filed under the name uncultured bacterium. RNAcentral's name for it is "partial 16S ribosomal RNA". It matches the Rfam family "Bacterial small subunit ribosomal RNA", at positions 28 to 507 of the family's 1533-position model. The record is from RNAcentral.
GACGAACGCUGGCGGCGUGCUUAACACAUGCAAGUCGAACGGAAAGGCCCUGCUUUUGUGGGGUGCUCGAGUGGCGAACGGGUGAGUAACACGUGAGUAACCUGCCCUUGACUUUGGGAUAACUUCAGGAAACUGGGGCUAAUACCGGAUAGGAGCUCCUGCUGCAUGGUGGGGGUGGGAAAGUUUCGGCGGUUGGGGAUGGACUCGCGGCUUAUCAGCUUGUUGGUGGGGUAGUGGCUUACCAAGGCUUUGACGGGUAGCCGGCCUGAGAGGGUGACCGGCCAAACUGGGACUGGGCUACGGCCCAGACUCCUACGGGAGGCAGCAGUGGGGAAGAUUGCACAAUGGGCGGAAGCCUGAUGCAGCAACGCCGCGUGCGGGAUGACGGCAUUCGGGUUGUAAACCGAUUUCGCCUGUGACGAAGCGUGAGUGACGGUAAUGGGUAAAGAAGCACCGGCUAACUCCGUG